Molecule: ribosomal RNA, 180 nt
Filed under: uncultured Glomeromycotina
Lineage: Eukaryota; Fungi; Glomeromycota
Description: partial small subunit ribosomal RNA
Rfam family: Eukaryotic small subunit ribosomal RNA
Source: RNAcentral
GGAUCAAUUGAUUGGUCAUGCCUUGGUAUGUACUGGUCAUAUUGGUUCUCACCUUCUAAUGAACCAUAAUGUCAUUUAUUUGAUGUUAUGGGGAAUUAGGACUGUUACCUUGAAAAAAUUAGAGUGUUUAAAACAGGCGUUUGCUUGAAUACAUUAGCAUGGAAUAACGGAAUAGGACUU